Dreissena polymorpha is the source of this 1656-nucleotide long non-coding RNA. RefSeq lists it as uncharacterized. Lineage: Eukaryota; Metazoa; Mollusca; Bivalvia; Myida; Dreissenidae. The record is from RefSeq and is a predicted model, not a curated record. The transcript is spliced from 4 exons.
CUCAAUCACUCACAGUAAACGGAAUUUCUACAGAAAGAAAAAUACUUUAAACUAUUGCUCCAUUGUUUUACUGUAAACGAAUUUACUACAGAACAGGACUAUAUCUUUAAACGUUUCCCUCAAAAUAGUGUAUAUCAUUUUUAAUAAAGAAGAUGACUUCACAACAUGACCUCCGAGACUGCAGGGACGAAGAAAAGAAGAUGACUUCACAACAUGACAUCUGAGACUGCAAUGACGAAAUGAGUGUCCUCACUUCAGCAGUAGAAGCCAAUACACAAUAAUAGUUUCCAGCAGCUUACCUUAUCUGCUUCAAUGCAUUGAAUGCAUUCACAGUUUCAACACGCUUUACAACUCAAGAACAUCAUGGGCACAAGAAAACCUGGGUAGCAGAGCAAUGAGUAUGUCCCAGGAGCAUUUGCAGUCAUCUUCUCCAGAUUAUGAGAUCCCCAUGCUCCACAAUCCUCAGUUCAUAGACAUGCAGUGCGAACCUUGGACGUCCCUUGACGAAAUCAAACCAGAAAAUCAGAAGGACAGCCUGUUGCUACCGUUGUUAUCAUAUUAACCCCAUACAGAAGAAGCUCAGAGAUAUAAAUGCUGUUUAAGAUGUGCUAGUCUUUACAUACCCCGUGUCUGGUGUGAACAUGGACAAUUGAAGGUCUCUUCAUACCCCAUGUCUGGUGUGAACAUGUACAAUUGGAGGUCUCUACAUACCCCAUGUCUGGUGUGAACAUGUACAAUUGAAGGUCUCUACAUACCCCAUGUCUGAUGUGAACAUGUAUAAUUGAAGGUCUCUUCAUACCCCAUGUCAGGUGUGAACAUGUUGAAGGUCUCUACAUCCCCCAUGUCUGGUGUGAACAUGUUGAAGGUCUCUACAUCCCCCAUGUCUUGUGUGAACAUGUACAAUUGAAGGUGUCUACUUACCUCAUGUCUGGUGGGAACAUGUACAAUUGAAGGUCUCUACAUACCCCAUGUCUGGUGUGAACAUGUACAAUUGAAGGUCUCUACAUACCCCAUGUCUGGUGAAAACAUGCACAAUUGAAGGUCUCUACUUACCUCAUGUCUGGUGUGAACAUGUACAAUUGAAGGUCUCUGCAUACCCCAUGUCUGGUGUGAACAUGUACAAUUGAAGGUCUCUACAUACCCCAUGUCUGGUGUGAACAUGUACAAUUGAAUGUCUCAUCUUUGAAAUUGGGACACGUGGAAAAUUAGUGACUUGAUUCAGACAGAAAUCGCAUAAUGACAAAUCACAACAAAAAAUGGAAAGCCAGAAAGUCUUGUGGCCAGCAAUGUUUUUAUGUGACCAUCCAAGUUGUGUUCAAAGAAAAACAAUAGUUCAUGUUUUAUUGGAACUAUGAUGCUGUCAGUCAUUUUAUGUUGAAGGCUUUAAAUAACUAUAUUUGAAUAUAAUAAGAUUAAGAUUACUUGAUAAAAGCAAUAAUGUAAAAUAGUAUUUUAAGGGCAAAAUUAACAAGUCUUUCCAAUUACUGUGUCUGUAUUAUGACAUUUUAUUUUGGAAAUGUUAAGGAAAAUAUAAUGUUAGUAAAUAUAUGUCUAUGAAUGUUGAUUUUAACAUUUGUCAAAACUGUUUAAAUGAUGCUGGUAACUUUGACAAAAUUUAAUGAAAUGUAUUAUUUUCAUGUAAUGAGACAUGCUUCA